RNAcentral lists this ribosomal RNA (465 nucleotides) under uncultured bacterium. Its description in RNAcentral is "partial 16S ribosomal RNA". It matches the Rfam family "Bacterial small subunit ribosomal RNA", at positions 28 to 507 of the family's 1533-position model. The record is from RNAcentral.
GACGAACGCUGGCGGCGUGCUUAACACAUGCAAGUCGAACGGAAAGGCCCUGCUUGCAGGGUACUCGAGUGGCGAACGGGUGAGUAACACGUGGGUGAUCUGCCCUGCACUUCGGGAUAAGCCUGGGAAACUGGGUCUAAUACCGGAUAGGAGCCAUUUUUAGUGUGAUGGUUGGAAAGUUUUUUCGGUGUAGGAUGAGCUCGCGGCCUAUCAGCUUGUUGGUGGGGUAAUGGCCUACCAAGGCGGCGACGGGUAGCCGGCCUGAGAGGGUGGACGGCCACAUUGGGACUGAGAUACGGCCCAGACUCCUACGGGAGGCAGCGGUGGGGAAUAUUGCACAAUGGGCGCAAGCCUGAUGCAGCGACGCCGCGUGGGGGAUGACGGCCUUCGGGUUGGAAACUCCUUUCGCUAGGGACGAAGCUUUUUGUGACGGUACCUAGAUAAGAAGCACCGGCUAACUACGUG